This 465-nucleotide ribosomal RNA is filed under the name uncultured Klebsiella sp. RNAcentral's name for it is "bacterial SSU rRNA". It matches the Rfam family "Bacterial small subunit ribosomal RNA", at positions 338 to 795 of the family's 1533-position model. Lineage: Bacteria; Pseudomonadati; Pseudomonadota; Gammaproteobacteria; Enterobacterales; Enterobacteriaceae. The record is from RNAcentral.
CCUACGGGCGGCAGCAGUGGGGAAUAUUGCACAAUGGGCGCAAGCCUGAUGCAGCCAUGCCGCGUGUGUGAAGAAGGCCUUCGGGUUGUAAAGCACUUUCAGCGGGGAGGAAGGCGUUAAGGUUAAUAACCUUGGCGAUUGACGUUACCCGCAGAAGAAGCACCGGCUAACUCCGUGCCAGCAGCCGCGGUAAUACGGAGGGUGCAAGCGUUAAUCGGAAUUACUGGGCGUAAAGCGCACGCAGGCGGUCUGUCAAGUCGGAUGUGAAAUCCCCGGGCUCAACCUGGGAACUGCAUUCGAAACUGGCAGGCUAGAGUCUUGUAGAGGGGGGUAGAAUUCCAGGUGUAGCGGUGAAAUGCGUAGAGAUCUGGAGGAAUACCGGUGGCGAAGGCGGCCCCCUGGACAAAGACUGACGCUCAGGUGCGAAAGCGUGGGGAGCAAACAGGAUUAAAUACCCCAGUAGUC